RNAcentral lists this ribosomal RNA (1417 nucleotides) under uncultured Oscillospiraceae bacterium. RNAcentral's name for it is "bacterial SSU rRNA". It matches the Rfam family "Bacterial small subunit ribosomal RNA". The record is from RNAcentral. Lineage: Bacteria; Bacillati; Bacillota; Clostridia; Eubacteriales; Oscillospiraceae.
UAACACAUGCAAGUCGAACGGACCUAGCCCGGUAGUAAUAUUGGGCGACGGUUAGUGGCGAACGGGUGAWGUAACGCGUGAGCAACCUGCCUUUCAGAGGGGGAUAACAACUGGAAACAGUUGCUAAUACCGCAUAAUGUAUUUAGAUGGCAUCAUUUGGAUACCAAAGGUUAAAUCCGCUGAGAGAUGGGCUCACGUCUGAUUAGCUAGAUGGUAGGGUAAGGGCCUACCAUGGCUGCGAUCAGUAGCCGGUCUGAGAGGAUGAACGGCCACAUUGGGACUGAGACACGGCCCAGACUCCUACGGGAGGCAGCAGUGGGGAAUAUUGGGCAAUGGGCGCAAGCCUGACCCAGCAACGCCGCGUGAAGGAAUAAGGCCUUCGGGUUGUAAACUUCUUUUAUUAGGGACGAAGGAUGUGACGGUACCUAAUGAAUAAGCCACGGCUAACUACGUGCCAGCAGCCGCGGUAAUACGUAGGUGGCAAGCGUUGUCCGGAUUUACUGGGUGUAAAGGGCGCGUAGGCGGGAAUGCAAGUCAGAUGUGAAAUCCAUGGGCUCAACCCAUGAACUGCAUUUGAAACUGUGUUUCUUGAGUGAUGGAGAGGCAGGCGGAAUUCCUAGUGUAGCGGUGAAAUGCGUAGAUAUUAGGAGGAACACCAGUGGCGAAGGCGGCCUGCUGGACAUUAACCGACGCUGAUGCGCGAAAGCGCGGGGAGCAAACAGGAUUAGAUACCCUGGUAGUCCGCGCCGUAAACGAUGAAUACUAGGUGUGGGGGGACUGACCCCUUCCGUGCCGGAGCAAACGCAAUAAGUAUUCCACCUGGGGACUACGGUCGCAAGACUAAAACUCAAAGGAAUUGACGGGGGCCCACACAAGCAGUGGAUUAUGUGGUUUAAUUCGAAGCAACGCGAAGAACCUUACCGGGGUUGACAUCCGACUAACGAAGCAGAGAUGCAUUAGGUGUCUUCGGGAAAGUCGAGACAGGUGGUGCAUGGUUGUCGUCAGCUCGUGUCGUGAGAUGUUGGGUUAAGUCCCGCAACGAGCGCAACCCUUGUUGUUAGUUGCUACGUAAGAGCACUCUAACGAGACUGCCGUUGACCAAACGGAGGAAGGUGGGGACGACGUCAAAUCAUCAUGCCCCUUAUAUCCGGGCUACACACGUAAUACAAUGGCGUUUAACAACGGGAAGCGAAGGAGCGAUCCGGAGCGAAUCCCCAAAGGCGUCUCAGUUCGGAUUGCAGGCUGCACUCGCCUGCAUGAAGUAGGAUUGCUAGUAUCGCGAUCAGCAUGCCGCGGUGAUACGUUCCCGGGCCUUGUACACACCGCCCGUCACACCAUGAGAGUCGGGAACACCCGAAGCCGGUAGUCUAACCUGAUAAGGAGGGCGCCGCCGAAGGUGGGCUUGAUAUUAAGGGUG